GAUGAACGCUGGCGGCGUGCUUAACACAUGCAAGUCGAACGGAAAGGCCGAAGCUUGCUUCGGUACUCAAGUGGCGAACGGGUGAGUAACACGUGGGUGAUCUGCCCUGCACUUUGGGAUAAGCCUGGGAAACUGGGUCUAAUACCAGAUAGGACCACGUCUUGGAUGGUGUGGUGGAAAGUUUUUUCGGUGUGGGAUGAGCUCGCGGCCUAUCACCUUGUUGGUGGGGUAAUGGCCUACCAAGGCGUCGACGGGUAGCCGGCCUGAGAGGGUGUACGGCCACAUUGGGACUGAGAUACGGCCCAGACUCCUACGGGAGGCAGCAGUGGGGAAUAUUGCACAAUGGGCGCAAGCCUGAUGCAGCGACGCCGCGUGGGGGAUGACGGCCUUCGGGUUGUAGACUCCUUUCGCCAGGGACGAAGCGUAAGUGACGGUACCUGGAUAAGAAGCACCGGCUAACUACGUGCCAGCAGCCGCGGUAAUACGUAGGGUGCGAGCGUUGUCCGGAAUUACUGGGCGUAAAGAGCUCGUAGGUGGUUUGUCGCGUCGUUUGUGUAAUACCGCAGCUUAACUGCGGGGUUGCAGGCGAUACGGGCAUAACUUGAGUGCUGUAGGGGAGACUGGAAUUCCUGGUGUAGCGGUGGAAUGCGCAGAUAUCAGGAGGAACACCGAUGGCGAAGGCAGGUCUCUGGGCAGUAACUGACGCUGAGGAGCGAAAGCAUGGGUAGCGAACAGGAUUAGAUACCCUGGUAGUCCAUGCCGUAAACGGUGGGCGCUAGGUGUGAGUCCCUUCCACGGGGUUCGUGCCGUAGCUAACGCAUUAAGCGCCCCGCCUGGGGAGUACGGCCGCAAGGCUAAAACUCAAAGGAAUUGACGGGGGCCCGCACAAGCGGCGGAGCAUGUGGAUUAAUUCGAUGCAACGCGAAGAACCUUACCUGGGCUUGACAUGCACCGGAUCGCUGCAGAGAUGUAGUUUCCCUUGUGGCUGGUGUACAGGUGGUGCAUGGUUGUCGUCAGCUCGUGUCGUGAGAUGUUGGGUUAAGUCCCGCAACGAGCGCAACCCUUGUCUUAUGUUGCCAGCAUUUGGUUGGGGACUCAUGAGAGACUGCCGGGGUUAACUCGGAGGAAGGUGGGGAUGACGUCAAAUCAUCAUGCCCCUUAUGUCCAGGGCUUCACACAUGCUACAAUGGUCGGUACAACGCGCAGCUACUUCGUGAGGAGGCGCUAAUCGCUGAAAGCCGGUCUUAGUUCGGAUUGGGGUCUGCAACUCGACCCCAUGAAGUCGGAGUCGCUAGUAAUCGUAGAUCAGCAACGCUGCGGUGAAUACGUUCCCGGGCCU
This 1339-nucleotide ribosomal RNA is filed under the name uncultured bacterium. RNAcentral describes it as "bacterial SSU rRNA". It matches the Rfam family "Bacterial small subunit ribosomal RNA", at positions 28 to 1381 of the family's 1533-position model. The record is from RNAcentral.